CCGACUGCUAUUUGGGUGAGGAUAAGCCAUGCGAGUUGAAUGGGAAACCUAAAGUUCCCAUGGCAAACUGCUCAGUAACACAUGAUCAACUUACCCUAUAGAGAAAAAUAACCUCGGGAAACUGAGGAUAAUGUUUCAUAGUUGAAUUGGCUUGGAAAAGUUUUUCGACGAAAGGGGUAAAAAAAAUGGUUUUUAUCUGCUAUAGGAUAGGAUCGUGUUCGAUUAUGGUUGUUGGUGAGGUAAUGGCUCACCAAGCCGAUAAUCGAUAGGGGCCGUGAGAGCGGGAGCCCCGAGAUGGGUACUGAGACAACGACCCAGGCCUUACGAGGCGCAGCAGGCGCGAAACCUCCGCAAUACACGAAAGUGUGACGGGGUUACCCAAAGUGUUCAAUAGAACUGUGGUAGGUGAGUAAUGUUCCCUACUAGAAAGGAGAGGGCAAGGCUGGUGCCAGCCGCCGCGGUAAAACCAGCUCUUCAAGUGGUCGGGAUAAUUAUUGGGCUUAAAGUGUCCGUAGCCGGUUUAGUAAGUUCCUGGUAAAAUCGGGUAGCUUAACUAUCUAUAUGCUAGGAAUACUACUAUACUAGAGGGCGGGAGAGGUCUGAGGUACUGCAGGGGAAGGGGUGAAAUCUUAUAAUCCUUGUUGGACCACCAGUGGCGAAGGCGUCAGACUGGAACGCGCCUGACGGUGAGGGACGAAAGCCAGGGGAGCGAACCGGAUUAGAUACCCGGGUAGUCCUGGCCGUAAACGAUGCAUACUAGGUGAUGGCACGGCCAUGAGCCGUGUCAGUGCCGUAGGGAAACCGUUAGGUGUGCCGCCUGGGAAGUACGGUCGCAAGGCUAAAACUUAAAGGAAUUGGCGGGGGAGCACCACAAGGGGUGAAGCCUGC
Molecule: ribosomal RNA, 888 nt
Filed under: uncultured archaeon
Lineage: Archaea
Description: bacterial SSU rRNA
Rfam family: Archaeal small subunit ribosomal RNA
Source: RNAcentral